GCCAUCUUAGCUCAGCUGGUAGAGCACUUGACUUGUAAUCAUGAGGUCUCCGGUUCGAUUCCGGGAGAUGGCU
This 73-nucleotide transfer RNA is filed under the name Treponema sp. RNAcentral's name for it is "tRNA-Thr". It matches the Rfam family "tRNA". From Rfam's summary of the family: Transfer RNA (tRNA) molecules are approximately 80 nucleotides in length. Their secondary structure includes four short double-helical elements and three loops (D, anti-codon, and T loops). Further hydrogen bonds mediate the characteristic L-shaped molecular structure. tRNAs have two regions of fundamental functional importance: the anti-codon, which is responsible for specific mRNA codon recognition, and the 3' end, to which the tRNAs corresponding amino acid is attached (by aminoacyl-tRNA synthetases). tRNAs cope with the degeneracy of the genetic code in two manners: having more than one tRNA (with a specific anti-codon) for a particular amino acid; and 'wobble' base-pairing, i.e. permitting non-standard base-pairing at the 3rd anti-codon position. The record is from RNAcentral. Lineage: Bacteria; Pseudomonadati; Spirochaetota; Spirochaetia; Treponematales; Treponemataceae.